Long non-coding RNA from Achroia grisella, 274 nucleotides. RefSeq lists it as uncharacterized. NCBI's taxonomy places the organism in Eukaryota, Metazoa, Arthropoda, Insecta, Lepidoptera, Pyralidae. The transcript is spliced from 3 exons. The record is from RefSeq and is a predicted model, not a curated record.
AAUUUUAGAAGAUGGAUUUAAAAGAAAAUUCCUCUAUAUUAAAUUCUGUUACGAAAGUUAGCCAAGAUUUAUGAAAUGAUAUACGCUUGAGCACCAACGACCAACAAAUCUCAGAGAACAAAUCCAAAUUUGAACAAACAAAUUCUUCAGUGCCAGUUCAAAAGAACUGUCUACAUCACCAAAUGUAUUACCAAGAAAUUAUGUCACCAACCAUCCAAUUGGAGAACAAAUUAAAACAGACAAAAAUCAAAGUGUAUGUAAUGACUCCAUUGAU